RNAcentral lists this non-coding RNA (29 nucleotides) under Rattus norvegicus (Norway rat). The record is from RNAcentral. Lineage: Eukaryota; Metazoa; Chordata; Mammalia; Rodentia; Muridae.
UGAUUGUGGAGGAAGACCAGCACCACAGU